AAACUUGACAGUUAUGAGUACUCUGAACUUAAUUCAGUUGAGUUCACUGAAAGAAGAUAUACAUUGCAAUUAAAUAAUUAAGUGAUUAAUUGAGUGAUAAUUGUGCAUUAGUGAUGAACAGCUGCUGUUAACAAACAGAAUUGCUGAAGAAAAGAGAAACACAAGAACUACAACUGACUUCAGACACAGCCUUAGAUGAAAUCAACUGAAAUAAAAUACAUUAAAUCUCUCAAGAUUAAACAAAUAUGUUUUAGAAACAUAUGGUUACAACAGCCAGAAAAAAAAACUAAGACAGAAAUCAAGGGUCAAGAGCCCAACUAAAGCAAAUACUGAUCUCUAACAUUGUUACUUCAAAUGAAACAAUAAAUCAACAUCUAAACCUUAGUUAAUUCUCAAGAAGAUCUUCUGUAGAUAUCUGACAGAAAUAAAGUCAGUCUGGUUAUUAAUAAGUGGAGCUGGUGAUGCUGUUUGUGGGGUUGUUUAAUCAGAUCUUGAGAGAUUUAAUGUAUUUUAUUUAUUUUAUCUAAGGCUGUGUCUGAAGUCAGUUGUAGUAGUUCUUGUGUUUCUCUUUUCUUCAGUGAUUGUUUGUUAACAGAAGCUGUUCAUCACUAAUGCUCAAUCAGCACUUAGUUAAUCACUUAAUUACUUAAUUGCAAAGUUUUAAAACUUACAUGGUUUAAAUCAAGGCAAUCUGUUUACUCAAACGGUUUGAGUUAAGUUACUUGUCGGGUACAGUGUAGUACCACAGGAUUACCACAGGACAUUUUUAUAAGGGAACUUAUACAUUUGAAAUUUCAUCUCUUCAUUCUCAUAUAAAUAUGUUAUUGUUGUAUUAAAAUGCUGGUUUGUUGUAGGUGUGUUGAGCUCCAUCAGUGUGACAGGAUAUUCAGGAGGAGGAGUCAGCAUCACAUGCAGAUAUGAUAGAGGAUAUAUAGACAAUGAAAAGUAUUUUUGUAUUGGAGAGCAAGUAACAUGCUCUCAACUCAUCAAGACUAAAGAAAAAAAUAAAUGGGUUAAUUCUGGAAGAUUUUCUCUGUAUGACGACACAAGAGCAGCAGUUUUCACUGUGACCAUCAGAGAUCUGAGUGAACGGGAUUCUGGGACAUACCAGUGUGCAGCUGCUAUCUCUUGGGAUAUAGAUUUUUACACUGAAGUGAAGCUGAACGUUGUAACAGUUAGAGAUAUAACGCUGCCGGAAGAAUGCAACAAUCAGACCCCUGGAGGAUGUUUUCAAAAUCGUUUUGAACAGAUCAAGAACAUCACAGCUAAAGUGCUUCCUUUGAAUGUAAGUCCUCAGGAGAACAUUUAUAAAUUAAU
Long non-coding RNA from Cyprinus carpio (common carp), 1317 nucleotides. The record is from Ensembl. Lineage: Eukaryota; Metazoa; Chordata; Actinopteri; Cypriniformes; Cyprinidae.